RNAcentral lists this long non-coding RNA (1728 nucleotides) under Parus major (Great Tit). RNAcentral's name for it is "lncRNA (ENSPMJG00000006771.1)". The record is from RNAcentral. Lineage: Eukaryota; Metazoa; Chordata; Aves; Passeriformes; Paridae.
AGAGAACCAAAGCUCCUUUCACAGGAUGUUUUCCUCCUGCCUCCCUGUCCCCUCAGGUGUGCACAGGAGGGAGAAGCAGUGUGAUUUGUGAUGCUUUGGAAGGAGAGAGGAACGCAAACAUCAGGGUAAAUUAACAGCUGGUGGAAAAUGUGCCUCCCUUGGAGGAGGGAUGGCAUGACAGGGAGAGAGAGGAAAACACUACAUCACCUUGGAACAGCCAAACUACAGCUGAGAUUCAGCAGCAGAAGAAAUCUGGGCAUGGCAUCUGCUUUCAGCAAGUGGAGCUGCAUCCUAGGAAUGGAGCAGAUCGGCACCAACCAGGGGGAGCAGCACGGCAAUCCUGCCCCAGGAACACAGCCAGGAUGUCCAUAAAUCGGAAAGACUUUUCUGCAAAGGCACUUCGAUUUUCCAUUCAGAUGGCUUCUGAACACUUCAUUUUGGAGUGGGAAAGGCAAGGAUCAAGUCUCCACUCAUCUGCAGAAGGACAGAGCCCAGCUCUGUUCGCAGUGCAGACACAGCACACAGACAAACUCUGCCGUGAUGCCAUCACUAAAGCAAGACUGAAGAAGCAAAUCUGGACCAUUCACCCUCUGUUGGCUACCAAAAAUCUCCAGGUGACUCCUGGGCCAAAGCCAGUAGGACAGGGAAACUCACACUUAACACUUCAGGGAGCUCUGCACAGGCUGCCAGGGCCACUGAAGGGCCCAAGAAAAUUCCUAGUCCAAUAAACGAGGCCCAAGCGAGACCCAGCUCAGGACAUGGGGCAGCUGGAAUCUGACUGUGCUGCUCCAGUGCCACUUCUCUAAUCCUCAGCAUCCUGUGACAUCCUGGAGAGACUGACCAGGAUGCUCCCUCCCUGUGUCCAGAGGUUUUGGACAGGGAUUGCUCAGCAGAGAUCACAUGCUUGGCUUCUCAGAAAGCUGAAGGAUGAUCAAUAGUUGAUUAAUAUAGUGAAGAAAUUAAUGUAUUAAAUGCAGUGGCUGAUGUCAAAUACAUUCUCUCUUGCUCAUCGAUUCCCUUAUUUUUAACCUGCAUGUGCCAAAGUUCUGAAGCCCAAUUCUAGUGUGCAGCUGGCACAUCCAUCUCUUUAAUUUCAUAUGGAUAUAAGAUACUGAGCAAUGUAUUUGAUUGAGUAAAUGUGGUGCCAUUGAUUUUGUGGCUGAAUUAUCUGACUUGAUUGGCACCGUGUCCCAUUUAAUAGAGAAAGCAACCAAUUCAAUAAGUAAUGUUAGUAAUUGGGUAGUUGUUCUCUGAAGAAAGAUUACUUGAGUUCACAGGACUAAUGUUUCUCGGUUGCAGUGUAAACUGGAUAAAUUUCUACACGAGAUGAACACGAUAACAUUUAUCCGUGUAAUAACAAAGCUCUGGGCUCUCUAACGCAGCAGCAAGGGCUCCUGGGCAGUCCCCACUGAGCAGCUCCCAUGCUGUUUAUACAUUAAUACAAAGCUCAGACAUCAGGACCAUUCAUUAAUUAACCCUCAAAAGCCACUGAGAAACGCUGCAUAUGUUUGUGAGUGUUCUAACAAACACACUGCUGCUGCUCUGCACCACAGAGUGCUGACACUGACCCUGGGCUCAGGGCACUGCUCGGGUGCUCAGGAGCAGCCCUGGCACCAGUGGGGCUGAAUCAGAAUCCCAGAAUGAUUUAGGCUGGAAAAGAACUUCAUUGAAUCCAAGCUGCAGUCAGUCCCCAGCGUGUCACCCAGCCCACAUCCAGCUGUUCUUUGG